Molecule: ribosomal RNA, 462 nt
Filed under: uncultured bacterium
Lineage: Bacteria
Description: partial 16S ribosomal RNA
Rfam family: Bacterial small subunit ribosomal RNA
Source: RNAcentral
UAUGAAUGCUGGCGGCGCGCCUAACACAUGCAAGUCGAGCGGUAACAUGGACUUCGGUCUGAUGACGAGCGGCGGACGGCUGAGUAACGCGUGGGAACAUGCCCCAAAGUGAGGAAUAACUGCCCGAAAGGGUAGCUAAUGCCGCAUAUGAUCUUCGGAUUAAAGGAUUUAUCCGCUUUGGGAGUGGCCCGCGUUCGAUUAGGUAGUUGGUGAGGUAAAGGCUCACCAAGCCUACGAUCGAUAACUGGUCUAAGAGGAUGAUCAGUCAGACUGGAACUGAGACACGGUCCAGACUCCUACGGGAGGCAGCAGUGAGGAAUCUUCCACAAUGGGCGAAAGCCUGAUGGAGCGACGCCGCGUGCAGGAUGAAGGCCUUCGGGUUGUAAACUGCUUUUAUAAGUGAAGAAUAUGACGGUAACUUAUGAAUAAGCACCGGCUAACUACGUGCCAGCAGCAGCCGCC